CGGAUUGGAGUCUGNAACCCGACUCCAUGAAGCUGGAUUCGCUAGUAAUCGCGCAUCAGCCACGGCGCGGUGAAUACGUUCCCGGGCCUUGUACACACCGCCCGUCAAGCCAUGGAAGCCGGGAGUGCCUGAAGUGCGUGAGCGCAAGCAGCGCCCUAAGGUAAAACCGGUGACUGGGGCUAAGUCGUAACAAGGUACC
This 199-nucleotide ribosomal RNA is filed under the name uncultured bacterium. RNAcentral's name for it is "partial 16S ribosomal RNA". It matches the Rfam family "Bacterial small subunit ribosomal RNA", at positions 1294 to 1500 of the family's 1533-position model. The record is from RNAcentral.